Molecule: long non-coding RNA, 643 nt
Organism: Astyanax mexicanus (Mexican tetra)
Lineage: Eukaryota; Metazoa; Chordata; Actinopteri; Characiformes; Acestrorhamphidae
Exons: 2
Source: RefSeq, a predicted model, not a curated record
UGGUAAGUAUUUCUAAUUUUCAAAUUUUUCAAAUUUUCUAAUUUGUGUUGUUUGUUGCUUGAUGGUUACUUAUAUUAUUUCUAUAGCAGGUCUAAAACGCUUAGUGGAAAGUAUCAUGCCACCCGGAUUCGACAAUUUGUACAAACAGCCAAAAAAUCCUCAACUACAGGAUAUAACCAACAACAGCGGAUACAGGAGAGCCUUUAAGCCGAACUUAACGAGCAGUCCGGAGGUGUUGCUUGGUAAACGUUGCAACAGGGAACCAUCUUCAAGCAGAAAACGCAUCAGGCUGGAAGACAGCUGCAUACUGUUAGAUACAGAUUUGAACAACGCUGGACAGUCUACGAAUGGAGAAAAUGUGUUGCACAAUGAUGUCCAGGAUGUUUUAAACAAGGACGAAUGGUCGGAGGAUUUGACGGACAUCUGGGAUCAGAACAGUUUCAGCGAACCAGUCGAAAAAACUGUUGCUGCCGCACCACCGAAUGUUGGAAUAAACGCUUCGGACAAACACAGAGACACUGACGCAAAUGAGUUACGAUCAAACCAAGAGCAUGAGCAUCAAGAUCAGGUAGGACCCGAUGGUGAUUUAAACAGUAUUGGCGAGGUUUUAACUGUUCUAAGACAGCUUUCUGAAGAAAACAGA